Molecule: RNA transcript, 4934 nt
Organism: Pezoporus occidentalis (night parrot)
Lineage: Eukaryota; Metazoa; Chordata; Aves; Psittaciformes; Psittacidae
Gene: CUNH8orf48
Gene name: chromosome unknown C8orf48 homolog
Exons: 8
Source: RefSeq, a predicted model, not a curated record
GCGCGCAGGGGCUGCCGGUACCGUGUGUGCGGGUGGGCCCGGGUAAGGAGCUCCAGCCAUGGCGGCGGUGUGAGGAGAGGAGGAGGUGUGGAGCCCGUGUGAGGCCGGAGGGGAAGUGCUGCACCAUGCUGACUGCCCCAGCAGAUAGCUCUGGUGACUACAAAAAGCAGCAGAUGGAACUGAGCCAGAGCCAUAGCAGCUCUGGUUUGCACUACUCAGAAGAUACCUUUGAGUCCUUCAGUGAGGAGGAGGAAGCCCACUGGCAGAGAGAAAGUGACCCACCUGAAUCAUGUUGUUCCACAGAGGAUUUGGAGGGCUCUGCUGUGUCAGAUGAGCAGCCUGAAGUAGCAGAUUCUGCAGCUGCAGAAAGAGAUCUCGUGGGACGCUGGAUUGGUCUAAUAACUAAAAAAUCUGACAUUAAGCAAGACAGAUCGGUCAUCAAAACUCAUGCUGAAAUGAGUGAACUCUCAGAUGAAGAACUGGAUGCUCUCAGGUCCUUUUGCACUAAGAAGAUAAGUGGGAUGCAUCAGCAGCUGAUCUCCAAGCAGACAAAUGGUGACAAGUCAAGAAAGCUGCAGCUGGGAUUGACAGCAAAGAAACCAGACACAAAUGACUUGAGCUGCGUUGUUCCUGAUGGGCUGAUGAACAGAAUCCGCCUGAAAAACAUCGGUGAGACUGUUAAACAGGUGACAGAAACUCGGAUCCACGAUCCCUCGGUGUGCCCUGACUGUCAGGAGAAGGAGGCAGAGCUAGCCAAGAUCACCUUCUGCAGAAGAAAGAAGGUUCUGAUGGAAAGUGCUUUAAUUCAAGAGAAAUUGGAAGAACAGAUUUACUUAAGAGAUACGUUUACACUUCUAGGAGAAGCACUCAGAAGCUUACCCAAACCUUCAGAGGAUCCCAGGAACCUAAGGCAAAGGCUGAAAGGAUUCUGUGGAUCUUUGCACUGACAGCAGCAUGAUCUGUAUGGGAGGAAAGGGAGGGGGAGCAUAUACCUUCUGUCAGUAAGAUAAAGGAUGCAUCGAGUUUGGUGGCUGUCUGAAAUCCUCAGCUUCAUCGAAAUGAUGAAGGCCAGAAAUCAGACCUAAGCUAUUGCAGUUGUGUUGUUUUAAUAGGAAGCUGAUUGUACAUAGCUGACCAUUAGGCUAACUCAAACCUCCUUUGACUUCCUGAUGACACUAAGACUGGUUGUUAAGACACAUAAAUCAGCAGCAAGUGAGAAAAAGGUAUAAUACUGUUCUCAAGUGGACACAAAACCAUCUUUCCAAAGUAAGGACGACUGACCUCAAACUAUGAACCUGCUCCUUGUGAAGCAGCAUUACAAAAUCCUCUUUGAUUUCAGUAGCAGGAGAAUCUUUGGUUCCUAUCUUCGUGUGUGUCCUGUGCUCCUCCAGACUGCAUUUUCAAGCGCUGAAUUACUUCUGGCUUUUAUACCAUCUUAAAUAUAUAUUGGCUUUUUAAUAGAGUUUCAGGCUUGCUUGCUUUCUGCUUUCAGCUUGCUUGUAAAUGUCCCUGCUGCCUUUCAAAUUGUCUCUUCUAUUUUUAUUGCAUUACGGAAGAAUGCGCCUCCUGCCUCUAAAUUUGCAUCUUUUUGAUGUAGAAAACAUUUGUAUGAAAUGUAUCCAUCAUGUUGCAAACCUGCUAUGUAAAUGAUGCUUUUCUCCUCAUCCAGAGCUAGUGUAGCAAGACAUCUACUGAUACCCUUGCGCCCGAAAUUGCAGGUGAAAGCCACAGGGGGAGUGAGAGCAAAUGAAAGCAGGGACAAGGGGAGGAGGGAAGGAGGAAGGAAUGGGAGAAGUAAAGAAGGAAGGAAAGGCCUCAGAGAGCUUGUAGUGAGAUGCUUUAGCCUUGCUACUUAUUUUUCCCUGCGUCUUUGAUAGACUCGCAUGUAAGAGCAAAAGGCCAGUUUUUAGGAAUGUCUUAAGUACGUAAGUCCACCCUUGCCAUUUGGGUUUUGAAAAUGGCAAGGGUGAACUUAUGUACGUCUUAAGAGUUGUUGCACAACUUAUGUCCAGCAUCUUUGGGUGCUUAAAAUACUUUUGGAAAUCAUAAGGUUUCAGGUCUACAAAGUGCUGAUGAGCUUCCAGCUGAGAGCCAGUUGGGAUUCCUGCUUCCCAGCAGGUUCUGGAGGUAUGGGCUAAAAUGGUAAAUGUUGGGUUGUUACAGAACAACUGUUCAGGUAUGUUUGCAGUGUCAUGGGGUUUGUAGGUGUUAAACACUAUGGGCUUAUCUGAGGAGUCCUAAAAUUGAACCACCUCUUUAUGCCUCUAUUUUCUGUAUUGUUGAUCUCAGAACAGAAAAUGUGCUCUGUUUUUACACAUAGUCAUCCUUAGAAAUAUGUCUUGCAUAAACCCUUUGUGGUUGCACCCAGUGAUAUAAGUGACAACGUAGAUAAAGAUUUAAGCAAGUUGAUUAAUCUUUUAAUUCAGUGUAUAAAGUUCUAGUCCUGAUCUCUCAGAAUGCUGAAUGCUGUUUUUAUGCCAGUGAGCAAGAAAACUCUGCUUUUAGCAGUUGUUCAACUUAUUCUGUCUUCACUAGACCUGAGGUUUUGUCUUUUCUUAUGCCAGAAGAAAAAAAAAGUGUGAGUUUAAAAACCACUUGUAGUAACUCAUUCCCACAUUGGUCGGAUCCAUAAGCCAACAGAAAGUUCCUGUAAAAGGAACAGUGGGAUCCUGCUUUUCUUUAGAGCUGCAGUGGGCUUGGCUAACUUGAAGGGACAGCCUGCGUAUGACAAAGGUGAUUUCUGAGCAGAACCUGGUACCAUCUUACCUCUGCAUAGAAAGGUGCUGAGCAAAACAGCUCCUUUUGACGCAGGUGGAAGUUGCAGUGUGUGACUGCUCAGGCUCGUGUGGGCAUGGACCCUAAGUGUAACAUGCUGUUUCUGUGGGCAUUUAGUUGAUAGAGAACCAUCACAGAGCUAAUUCUGGGGUAUAAGAUUUUAAUUUUAGUUAAGCAGUGCCUGAAGUGUGGAGCAGUUGAAGCACCAGGCCUGUUGUGUUGGAGAUCUAGACUCUGUCUGGAGUUCAUAUUCAUCCCACUGAUUUUAUUGGUGACUUCUCAUGAUAGCAGAACAUGUUAAUUUAGUGUAACUGUGAUUUGAUAAACACCAGCAGCUUUUUAAGGUGUGAUUACAGCCUUCUUGUAACUGCAUGCUUUGGCAGAUGCUCUCUUUUGUCUGCAUAAAGCCCAAAUCCUUAUGGAAGAUGAUGGUGUCUGUUACCUGGACCAAACUACACGUAAGUUAUGUUACAGACUAAGCACUUGAUUAAUUUCCUCCUUAAAACAGUGUUUCUAAACUGUACUUGUGGUAGAUAUUUUAGACCUUGUCUGUAUGGUGGUGAGAGGGAAGUUUAUCAUUCUGAUCAAUGAAAUCCUUGUAUGACAUUUUGAGGGUAGCUUUGAAACUGUACAUUAAAUGCUCCCUAUAGGUGUUCAGACAGGCUGAGCCACACUGCAGUAAAUGUGUCGGGAAGAGACACUGAGUGUUACACCUUUCUGUGCUCAUACCUAGGGAAGGGUUUGAUUCUUUUUCCCUUUUAAAUCUGGGAAACAGUGCUGUAUCGAAGUGCUGCUCUCUGAACAGCUGAACAUGUCUGUUCCUUCAUGCUCAUCACUUCGAAAUAGGCUUUAGUGCAUUUUAAAAGCUAUGUUGAGGUUGUCUUUCUCACAACAGCACAAACUAGUCCUUGUUUUGGAGAGUGGAUUUUCCUGCUAAGCCAUUCUUCACUUUUCCUGCUAAAGGCACAGUCUUAGAUCAUCAGCUAAAAAAUGUACCCUGUGGAAUGGGGAGUCUUUUUCCCUUGAGAAUUGUCUUUCAUGCUUAACUUUUUGCUAAUUCAGUUCCUACUCAUUUCUUUUGCACAACAUUCUUUGCUCUUCCCACACACCUUUCAAAUCAAGGGUGAUUACAGAGGCAGCCUCUCAAUGCCUUCAUUACUCUGUAUUUUAAACGUUGCUUCAACUUGCUCAGCGAUUUUUAUUCCCCCCUUCCCAAUUUGCCUGCUUCUGGGAUCAGUUUAUUCUCCUCCUCUGUGGUACUGGGUUCUUUGGAGUCAGAACGAGUACUUACCAGUCCAGGUACAAGUGCAUAUUUAAUUGUUCUCUGGAGUUAUAGGAUAUAUGAAACCUGAAAGCUGUUCAGAGCUGAAUUCAAAUGAACAAACCCCAAACCUAAGAACCUUCAUAAAAUAGGAUCUGAAGGCAAUCCAUGGCCUUUUCAUUCAAUUCUCUUCUACUUUACGGGUGAAGGAGUGUGACUCUAGGCUAACUGGUUGUGAAAGGGAGAUGAACAGAUGAGAUCUGUUUCGUAUCCCCCUCCCUCUUCUCACCUCUCUUCUUUUUUAUUCCUUCCCUACCGCUAGCAAGGAAAGGAAUUAUAAAUGGGGUGUUUGCAGCCUUUCUCUUGGAUCUGAAAUCUGCCAGGGUUGAAACUCCUGCAGGGAUAACAUUUUGUCUUUAAAUGUGCCAAAGAGCAAAAGACUAUUUGAACAUUCAGGUCUUCAUCCAACUCAUUUGAAAAGAAAACUCUUCUCCUUUCAGCCACUGUGCCUAUUUGUGACAAAUAGUUAUAGCCCAGGACUACAAUAUAUUCCAUACUCAUAUUCACCUUUAAAACUGUGCAAGGAAAAUAAGUUGUUACAGGGUGGGAGGAAGCAGGGGGCUGAGAGGGGGAGUGAUGAAUGUCACUUUAAAUGCAGCUACUUUGUGCCGUUUCUGGAAUAAGAGCACAUUUCUUUUCCCACAGCAUGGGCUGGAGACAGGCUCUGUGUAAUUUGAGGGCUGUAGGUAAGCAGAAAGCACCUUGUUCCUCCUCACUGCCUCCCUCUCUGGUCUGAAAGCCCAGGCAGCAUGUCCCUGGGGUGGGUAGAGCUCAUGUGCACUGUGGCAAAUGAGUAGGCAAGAGGGGAGAAGGGAAUAAAGAUAUUAAGGAUUUGGUG